CGUGAGCUGUUAGGUUAAGUCCUAGAACGAACGCAACCCUUGAUACAUAUUAAUUUCUUAUGUAUGACCGCCGGUUAUACACCGGAGGAAGGUAAGGAUGACGCCAAGUCCUCAUGGCCCUUAUGGGUUGGGCUACAAAGGUGCUACAAUGGCGACUACAAUCGGUAGCAAUGGUGUGAAUCGGAGCCAAUCCUCAAAAGUCGUCUCAGUUUGGAUUGUUCUCUGCAAUUCGAGAACAUGAAAGUGGAAUCGCUAGUAAUCGCGGAUCAGAAUGCCGCGGUGAAUAUGUACCCAAGCCUU
Molecule: ribosomal RNA, 300 nt
Filed under: uncultured bacterium
Lineage: Bacteria
Description: bacterial SSU rRNA
Rfam family: Bacterial small subunit ribosomal RNA
Source: RNAcentral